CCUACGGGAGGCAGCAGUGAGGAAUAUUGGUCAAUGGACGAGAGUCUGAACCAGCCAAGUAGCGUGAAGGAUGACUGCCCUAUGGGUUGUAAACUUCUUUUAUAUGGGAAUAAAACGUUCCACGUGUGGGAUUUUGUAUGUACCAUAUGAAUAAGGAUCGGCUAACUCCGUGCCAGCAGCCGCGGUAAUACGGAGGAUCCGAGCGUUAUCCGGAUUUAUUGGGUUUAAAGGGAGCGUAGGUGGGUUGUUAAGUCAGUUGUGAAAGUUUGCGGCUCAACCGUAAAAUUGCAGUUGAAACUGGCAGUCUUGAGUACAGUAGAGGUGGGAGGAAUGCGUGGGGUAGCGGUGAAAUGCUUAGAUAUCACGAAGAACUCCGAUUGCGAAGGCAGUUCACUGGACUGCAACUGACACUGAGGCUCGAAAGUGUGGGUAUCAAACAGGAUUAGAUACCCCAGUAGUC
RNAcentral lists this ribosomal RNA (460 nucleotides) under uncultured bacterium. RNAcentral's name for it is "partial 16S ribosomal RNA". It matches the Rfam family "Bacterial small subunit ribosomal RNA", at positions 338 to 795 of the family's 1533-position model. The record is from RNAcentral.